Lucilia sericata (common green bottle fly) is the source of this 219-nucleotide long non-coding RNA. RefSeq lists it as uncharacterized. NCBI's taxonomy places the organism in Eukaryota, Metazoa, Arthropoda, Insecta, Diptera, Calliphoridae. The record is from RefSeq and is a predicted model, not a curated record. The transcript has 2 exons.
UAGAGCGGAAUAAUUCACCGUUUGUAGCGGGUUUAUCAGGUUUUAGAAUGGAAUCACAAAUCACCAAUUGGCGAAUCGACAAUUCGAGAAAGUGGAUGUGAUAUUCUAUUGCUACUUUACCAAGUUUCUUUGUCAUUAGCAUUAAGAUGCCAUCAGGACCAAGAGCUUUUGAUAGUUUAGAAUUGUGUUUUCAACCUCAGCAGGAGUUAAAGAAUAGGA